This is a non-coding RNA of Acanthosepion pharaonis, 108 nucleotides long. Lineage: Eukaryota; Metazoa; Mollusca; Cephalopoda; Sepiida; Sepiidae. The record is from the annotation of a GenBank genome assembly.
GUGGUCACAUAACUUUAAAACACCAGUUCUCGUAUGAUCAGUGAAGUUAAGCAACGUCGAACCUGGUUAGUACCUAGAUGGGUGACCGCUUGGGAAUACCAGAUACUA